This 1702-nucleotide ribosomal RNA is filed under the name Campylobacter jejuni. RNAcentral's name for it is "partial 23S ribosomal RNA". It matches the Rfam family "Bacterial large subunit ribosomal RNA", at positions 17 to 1737 of the family's 2925-position model. The record is from RNAcentral. Lineage: Bacteria; Pseudomonadati; Campylobacterota; Epsilonproteobacteria; Campylobacterales; Campylobacteraceae.
GCGAAUGGUGGAUGCCUUGACUGGUAAAGGCGAUGAAGGACGUACUAGACUGCGAUAAGCUACGGGGAGCUGUCAAGAAGCUUUGAUCCGUAGAUUUCCGAAUGGGGCAACCCAAUGUAUAGAGAUAUACAUUACCUAUAUAGGAGCGAACGAGGGGAAUUGAAACAUCUUAGUACCCUCAGGAAAAGAAAUCAAUAGAGAUUGCGUCAGUAGCGGCGAGCGAAAGCGCAAGAGGGCAAACCCAGUGCUUGCACUGGGGGUUGUAGGACUGCAAUGUGCAAGAGCUGAGUUUAGCAGAACAUUCUGGAAAGUAUAGCCAUAGAGGGUGAUAGUCCCGUAUGCGAAAAACAAAGCUUAGCUAGCAGUAUCCUGAGUAGGGCGGGACACGAGGAAUCCUGUCUGAAUCCGGGUCGACCACGAUCCAACCCUAAAUACUAAUACCAGAUCGAUAGUGCACAAGUACCGUGAGGGAAAGGUGAAAAGAACUGAGGUGAUCAGAGUGAAAUAGAACCUGAAACCAUUUGCUUACAAUCAUUCAGAGCACUAUGUAGCAAUACAGUGUGAUGGACUGCCUUUUGCAUAAUGAGCCUGCGAGUUGUGGUGUCUGGCAAGGUUAAGCAAACGCGAAGCCGUAGCGAAAGCGAGUCUGAAUAGGGCGCUUAGUCAGAUGCUGCAGACCCGAAACGAAGUGAUCUAUCCAUGAGCAAGUUGAAGCUAGUGUAAGAACUAGUGGAGGACUGAACCCAUAGGCGUUGAAAAGCCCCGGGAUGACUUGUGGAUAGGGGUGAAAGGCCAAUCAAACUUCGUGAUAGCUGGUUCUCUCCGAAAUAUAUUUAGGUAUAGCGUUGUGUCGUAAUAUAAGGGGGUAGAGCACUGAAUGGGCUAGGGCAUACACCAAUGUACCAAACCCUAUCAAACUCCGAAUACCUUAUAUGUAAUCACAGCAGUCAGGCGGCGAGUGAUAAAAUCCGUCGUCAAGAGGGAAACAACCCAGACUACCAGCUAAGGUCCCUAAAUCUUACUUAAGUGGAAAACGAUGUGAAGUUACUUAAACAACCAGGAGGUUGGCUUAGAAGCAGCCAUCCUUUAAAGAAAGCGUAAUAGCUCACUGGUCUAGUGAUUUUGCGCGGAAAAUAUAACGGGGCUAAAGUAAGUACCGAAGCUGUAGACUUAGUUUACUAAGUGGUAGGAGAGCGUUCUAUUUGCGUCGAAGGUAUACCGGUAAGGAGUGCUGGAGCGAAUAGAAGUGAGCAUGCAGGCAUGAGUAGCGAUAAUUAAUGUGAGAAUCAUUAACGCCGUAAACCCAAGGUUUCCUACGCGAUGCUCGUCAUCGUAGGGUUAGUCGGGUCCUAAGUCGAGUCCGAAAGGGGUAGACGAUGGCAAAUUGGUUAAUAUUCCAAUACCAACAUUAGUGUGCGAUGGAAGGACGCUUAGGGCUAAGGGGGCUAGCGGAUGGAAGUGCUAGUCUAAGGUCGUAGGAGGUUAUACAGGAAAAUCCGUAUAACAAUACUCCGAGAACUGAAAGGCUUUUUGAAGUCUUCGGAUGGAUAGAAGAACCCCUGAUGCCGUCGAGCCAAGAAAAGUUUCUAAGUUUAGCUAAUGUUGCCCGUACCGUAAACCGACACAGGUGGGUGGGAUGAGUAUUCUAAGGCGCGUGGAAGAACUCUCUUUAAGGAACUCUGCAAAAUAGCACCGUAUCUUC